GGUCCUCACUAAAGCAGUGUCUAGGAAAGACUACGCUAAGGUGGGGGAAGGCUCAUCUCAGGGUGUGGCCAUGCCUUCCACUUCUGGUGCCGGGCGUCGGUCCGCCAGAGCGCAGCACAUUGCGGUGCCGCUCGGGGCUGAUGACCUGGGGACGA
This 155-nucleotide non-coding RNA is filed under the name unclassified sequences. Its description in RNAcentral is "cold-seep-1 RNA". It matches the Rfam family "cold-seep-1 RNA". Rfam says of the family: Environmental, Norwegian cold seep. Environment (Cold seep) The record is from Rfam by way of RNAcentral.